This 755-nucleotide ribosomal RNA is filed under the name Methanosaeta sp. enrichment culture. Its description in RNAcentral is "bacterial SSU rRNA". It matches the Rfam family "Archaeal small subunit ribosomal RNA", at positions 102 to 856 of the family's 1478-position model. Lineage: Archaea; Methanobacteriati; Methanobacteriota; Methanomicrobia; Methanotrichales; Methanotrichaceae. The record is from RNAcentral.
GGACAACCUGCCCUGAGGACUGGAAUAAUCCCGGGAAACUGGGGGUAAUUCCAGAUAUGUCAGAACUCCUAGAAUGGGUUCUGGCAGAAAGGCUCCGGCGCCUCAGGAUGGGUCUGCGGCCUAUCAGGGUAGUAGUGGGUGUAACGUACCUACUAGCCUACGACGGGUACGGGUUGUGAGAGCAAGAGCCCGGAGAUGGAUUCUGAGACAUGAAUCCAGGCCCUACGGGGUGCAGCAGGCGCGAAAACUUUACAAUGCGGGCAACCGCGAUAAGGGGACCUCGAGUGCUGGGUUACAAACCUGGCUGUUGGGCUGCCUAAAAAGCAGUCUAUAGCAAGGGCCGGGCAAGACCGGUGCCAGCCGCCGCGGUAACACCGGCGGCUCGAGUGGUAACCGCUAUUAUUGGGUCUAAAGGGUCUGUAGCCGGCCGACUAAGUCUCUUGGGAAAUCUGGCAUCUCAAGUGUCAGGCUGCCAGGGGAUACUGGUCGGCUUGGGACCGGGAGAGGUGAGAGGUACCUCGGGGGUAGGGGUGAAAUCUUGUAAUCCUCGAGGGACCACCAGUGGCGAAGGCGUCUCACCAGAACGGAUCCGACGGCAAGGGACGAAAGCUAGGGGCACGAACCGGAUUAGAUACCCGGGUAGUCCUAGCCGUAAACGAUACUCGCUAGGUGUCGGCCACGGUGCGACCGUGGUCGGUGCCGUAGGGAAGCCGUGAAGCGAGCCACCUGGGAAGUACGGCCGCAAGGCUGAAACU